UCUUGUGGUUUGAGCAAACCAUUUUACAGAAGACUGCUUUGAGAAUCUUGGACAGUACAGAGCUGGAUUCGCCAGCAAACUUCGUGUGACAGAGGUUUCUGUACCUACUAUCCGUGUGGAGUCAGCAGAUGGAGAUGCUUCAGUACAGUCACUUCUGCUUCCAGCAACAAGAGAAAUUGGUUGUCAAACAGAUCCUCCAGAGAUAAUAAAACACACUGUUGGUACACAGCUAUCUCUACGGACUCUUCAGCCUCAUUUCAAAAGUGUCCAGGCUACUGUGUCCAGGAAAGACUGUUGUGUUGGCACGUCCACUGUUCCCCUCACUGCCCUGACGCCUGUCCUAACUUCAACACCUGUAAAGGGACCUCGUCUGAAGGAGGUGGAGGAGGAGGAUGAACUUGAUCUUGAGGACAGCUCAUCAAUAGUUACAUGUCAAGGGCUGGAUAGCACCUAUGAUCCUAGCAAUACUAUCAUUUCAGACCUUUCAGAUGUGGCAACAACUCCAAUCCAUGAGGUGAAGAAAUACAUUGUUUAUGAGACCUGCCUUAUGGAGCUGUUCAGGAUGUGCCCUAUGUGCCAGCGCCCAUGCACCAUUCAAUCAAGACGGCUCGGGACAUUCAUCUCGGUGGUGCAGCAGUGCCCCCAUUGUGAGUACCGCCGGACUUGGGACAGCAAACCACUCCUCAAUAACACGCCAGCCGGCAAUCUUCAGCUCUCUGUGGCAGUCUAUGUCAGUGGAGCCUCAUUUUUCAAAAUGCAAAGGGUCUUCGGCUAUGCACCUUCAAGUGUUUCUGUACGACACCUUUCGUCGGCAUGCACGUACAUAUGUUGAACCUGCUAUUAUCAACAAAUGGAAGGCUUCUCAGGAUGACAUGCUGCUGCGCCUUAGUGGGGAAAAUACCAUAAUUGGUGGCGACAUGAGAGCCGACUCUCCAGGCCACUCUGCAAAAUUUGGUAGCUACACAGUGAUGGACCUGAAAACCAACAAUGUGAUAGAUGUCCAGUUGGUUCAGAGCAACGAGGUAGGCGGCAGCUACCACAUGGAAAAGGAGGGCCUGAAGAGAAGCCUUGCAUUGUUGGAGGAGCGCAGGGUGACCCUUGACUGCAUAGUGACAGACCGACACCCGCAAAUACAGAAGUUCUUGAGGGAAACUGGCAUCAACCAGUACUAUGACGUCUGGCACAUGGAGAAAGGUAUAUUUUUUGAGUGUUAUUUUACAUAUUAUCAACACACCUCUAAAUGGUUCAUGCCAAGACAUUCAAGGCAAGGCAAGGCAAGGCAACUUUAUUUAUAUAGCACUUUUCAUACACAAGGCAGACUCAAAGUGCUUCACAUAUAAACAUUGUUAUACAUUAAAAUAAAAUAAUAGAUAAGUAAAAGAAAACAUAUGCAAAGAAAUUAGUAAAAUAGAAAGUUAAAAAGGCUUUUUAGUAAGUAAAAUUGAAAGUGCAAUGUAUUUAAGAAAGUGAGAAAAUUAAAUUGAAAGUUAUUUAAGAUCAGAUCAACAGUCUCUGGAACCCAAGUCGGGACUACAACCCGACCUAAAGGACAAUAUUCUAGGACUCUAACCCAGCUUCUAGGACUCUAGCCCAGCAACCUUUCUCUCUGGUAUCAGAUCAUGUAUUUUUCUGGUAAAAAUAGAAAAUAAAGGGAAAGUUAAAAAGGCAUUUUAGUAAAAUAAAGCUACAGUAUUUAAGAUUUAGCAGAAAGCUAAAGCAAACAUAAAAGUCUUCAAUCUUGUUUUGAAGGUGCUCAGAGUUGGGGCAAGUCUUAAAUCCUCAGGGAGUUUAUUCCAGCUAUUUGUUGCAUAGUAACUAAAUCCUGCUUUCCCAUGUUUUUGUUUACUCGGGGGAUAAUUAACAGAUUGGUCUCAGAAGAUCUUAGUGUUCUAGAAGGCUUAUGUAGUGGAAGCAUAUCAGUUAAAUAUUUUGGGCCUAAACCAUGUAGGGAUUUAUAGGUUAGCAACAUGAUUUUAAAAUCAAUUCUCUGACCUACAGGAAGCCAAUGUAACGAUUUAAGAAUUGGUGUAAUAUGUUCAAAUUUUUUGGUCUUUGUUAAAACUCUAGCAGCAGCAUUCUGAACAAGCUGAAGCUUCCUUAGAGUUUGUUUUGGGAGACCUGUAAGGAGACCAUUGCAGUAAUCAAGCUUACUAGUGAUAAAGGCAUGUACAAGUUUUUGUAAGUCUUCUGUGGACAUGAGCCCUCUAAGUCUUGCUACAUUUUUAAGGUGAUAAUAUGCAGAUUUUGUAACUGAUUUGAUGUGACUUUCGAAAUGUAAAUCAGAAUCCAUGAUAACCCCUAGGUUUCUGGCUUUGAUUGAGGUUUUCAGGGACAGAGAGUGUAGGUGUUGGGUUACUUUAAGCCUUUCCGUUUUAGCACCAAAUACAAUUAUCUCAGUUUUAUCCUCAUUUAGCUGAAGGAAAUUUCGGCACAUCCAGUCUUUCACUUGCUCAAUGCACUGGCACAGCAGAUCUAUGGGCCGAUAGUCAUUUGGUGAUAGCGAUACAUAGAUUUGCGUGUCAUCAGCAUAGCAAUGAUGGUCAAUAUUGUUAUUAUGCAUGAUUUGCCCUAGUGGGAGCAUGUAGAUGUUGAAUAAAGAGGGUCCUAAGAUCAAACCUUGUGGGACUCCACACAUCACGUUGGUUGAUUCUGAUACAAAGUCGCCGAUGGAAACAAAGUAGUUCCUAUUUUGUAGGUAGGAUCUGAACCAAUUUAAGACUGUGCCUGAAAGCCCCACCCAGUUUUCUAACCUGUCCAAAAGUAUUGUAUGGUCUACAGUGUCGAAUGCAGCACUGAGGUCUAGUAGCAUUAGUAUUGAGGUUUUGCCAGAGUCUGUGUUAAGACGGAUGUCGUUUACAACUUUAAUGAGGGCGGUCUCAGUGCUGUGCAGGGGUCGAAAUCCUGAUUGGAAGGUGCCAUAACAACCAGUUGAUGCCAGGAAGUGAUUAAGUUGCUGGAGGACAACUUUCUCAAUGAUUUUACUUAUGAAGGGCAGAUUUGAUAUUGGUCUGUAGUUGUUAAUAAUAGAGGUAUCUAGGCUCCGCUUUUUUAAAAGGGGUUUAAUAACUGCAGUUUUCAGGGCUUUUGGGAAGUUGCCUGACUGGAGAGAGUUGUUAACUAUCUGCAAUAUGUCUAUUGCUAGGCAGUCAAAAACAUUCUUAAAGAGGUUGGUAGGUAAAGAAUCAAGGCAACAGGUGGAUGGCUUUAGUUGUGUAACAGUUUCCACAAGAGUUUUAGAGUCAAUAACAUUAAAGCAUGCCAUCCCUGCCACUUUACUUUUGCCUGAACAGGGUGGUAGUCCAACAUUUUUGU
RNA transcript from Gadus chalcogrammus (walleye pollock), 3312 nucleotides. RefSeq lists it as uncharacterized. The record is from RefSeq and is a predicted model, not a curated record. NCBI's taxonomy places the organism in Eukaryota, Metazoa, Chordata, Actinopteri, Gadiformes, Gadidae. The transcript has 7 exons.